Molecule: RNA transcript, 3739 nt
Organism: Mytilus californianus (California mussel)
Lineage: Eukaryota; Metazoa; Mollusca; Bivalvia; Mytilida; Mytilidae
Exons: 6
Source: RefSeq, a predicted model, not a curated record
AAGGAUGGAAUAUUUCAUUUGGUUUUCAGGUACAUUUCAUUUACUAAAUAAACAAAAUUUUAAUCAUCAAUGAUUUGGUCAGUCAGUGAAUAUAAGUAUGUAACUCAGAUUGUGGUGAAGAUAUUUGUAGGUAUGGAUAGGUGUUUAUAUUAAUAAUAAUAAUAUAUUCUCUAUGGAAAAAAAGAAAGAAUAAAGAAAACAGCUAGGCAAACAAAUAAAAAAAGAACAUGAUGGGAUGCCAAAAAUAUAAAGAAUAUAGAGAAAAAUAUGCAAGUAUUUUAAAAAUACAGAAAAAUAGAAAUAAAUAUUAUGGAAAAUAGAAAUAAAGACCUCUCCCUAUCCAUACCCUCAUGAAAGUAACCUUAUUUUCAUGUAGAAAUCUGUAUGUAUAUAGAUAAGAUCGUCAAAUAGGGAUCAAAAUGUUCCACCUAAUUAAUAUAUAUCAAGCAUUUAUUUUCAUUUUUUUUAAAUAUAUGACUCACAAGUGAUCGAUUAUUUAUCAGACUAAAAUACAAAUACUGAUAGCAUAUUGAUUUUUAUGACAAUUUUAAACCUUGUGAGGUUUUAAUGAUUUUAACUAAAGUCAACCAUUACCUUCUGAUAGUAGAGUUACCAAGAUGGAUACCAAGCCUGUUUAUACAGAAAUAUUCAUGGUCCCUUUUAACUUGAUGGGACUGGCCAUUGGUAGGGAAGGAGCUAACAUAAAAAAAUCCAGACAAAUUAAAGGAGUGUUGUUUGUUAGAAAUGAGAAACAACCAGAUGGAUACAGAUUUACAGUAAUUGGUGAGUCACAUAAUGCAGUAAAUGAAGCUAGAUGUGUAUUGGAAUUUAAGCAAAAGGCUUUCACAGUGCCAAAACAUUUAGCAGGUAGAGUAAUUGGAAAAAAUGGAAAUGUAAUUAAAGAUGUGAUAGAUAAGUCCUUAGUGAAGAAAAUUGAAAAACAAAAACAAAAAGAAAAUGCUGUUGUGACAUUUAAUAUAAUAGGUUCAUCAGAAGCAAUUCAGAGUGCUGUACUUUUGCUGAACAAUAAACUGGAAGAGAUUGAGGUACAACUUCAAAUAUUUGAUUUUUAAGCGUAGCAACAAAAGAAUUCAAAGAGGUUACGGAUUUUAUGCUGACAUAAAGAAACUGUUCCAUAAUGGCGGAGGUGAAAAUGUUUUUAAAGGAAAGAAUAAUGAGGAUAGACGUCAUAAAAAAGAUAAAAAACGAUCUGAUUCAAAAAAUCAAGAUGAGGAUUGCUUUGUGUUUUUUCUCAAAAACAAGAUGUUUAGGAGAAUGGAUUAUGUUAAAAAACAAAAACAAAAGCAGCGUGCUCUUCAAAAAAUAAGUAGAGGUAAUGUAAAAAAGCAGCAUCAAGGUCAAAGAAAAUUGACUAAGCGAGAACUUCCUAUUGAUUUGCGACUCCUCAUUGGUGAAAUUGUUCACUCCAAUACUUCUUUCAUAGAGAAUAUAUUGGGUUCUCCUGAAUUUUCAAAUGAGGAAGGAGAAAUUUAUUUAUAUUACAGACGAACUUGUAUUAGCCUGGAUUCUCCUAGGAUUUCAAAUGUGAAAGCAGACAUUUGUUUCGAAAAAUGCAAAGAAAAUGAAAGCAACAGAGAGGAUGAACAACCAUGGUGGUUAAAGCCUCAACAGACAAAAGACUCUUGGGAAGAGUGGGAUUCUGAUGAAGAGUCAAGUAUAAGUACAGAAUUAGAGCAGUUUAAAAUAGGCGAAACCAAUGCAAGAUAUAAUUGUGUAUCUAAUAGUCUAACUAACCAAUUGCUAGCAGUUCAUGAUGAUACAAAUACUUUGGUUUCAUCAGUUGAGGAUAGUGCAGUCUUCGGUAAAAAGUAGUAAAAAUAACACUGUUAAAUAAAAUUCUGUUCUCUAUAUGUUGAAGAUAAAAAGAGUUAAAAAAAUCUGAUCUGGUGACAAAAUUUGUAAAAAUAAGUUAUAGUUAAAAUAAUUUAAAGAUUUAAAUUUUUAUUAAGCUUUUUCUUUGUAAUGAUAGUGUUAUGGUAGGGAGCAACCAUUUAACUUCAAGGGGGAGGUAUGAUUUUUUUGUCUGAGUCCGAAAUUUUCUUUUAGUUUUUCGAUCCUAUCAGUCAAAUUUUUUUUUCAAAAUGUAACACAAUAGUGUUUAGGGAAAAUCUGGAUUAAGAAUAUAUUUUUUUAGUCAUCUGUUUGAUCACAAUAUUAUUUUUCAUGAAAUUUAGGAUAAGAAUAUGUUUUUAGGAAAAAACCAUACCCAAUAGACCAUUUUCAUUUUACCGACUUUUGACUCCGGGUUCUACAAAUAUACGACAGGUUACCUACUCUGUGGUAAGACAUCCUUGUGCUCAGUCAAUUACAAGCAACCAAAAGAAGUAAAAUCAAAUUCAUGAUUCAUGCAAUUUGGGGGGAGACUUCCUGUUUUCUGAUGAUUUAGUCAUGUAAAGAAAGCAUUUAUUAAACAGUUAACUUUCCCUCAAAAUUGUAUCAAUUAAAAUCUUGAAUUUACUUAUUUAUAUUGUUCUUGCUUGACCGAGUACCAGAAUGUCUUACUACAGGGAAGGUAAAAUGUCGAAAAAAUAUAAAUUCCAAAGUCAUACGUCGGUAAUAUGAAAAUGGACUAUUCUGGAAGAUAAAUGAUUGUUCCCGUAUGGAUUAGGUUUUGAUGAGUAUCUGUGAUUAAGAAAAUUAUUGCAAAAAAUAUACAUUUGAUUUAUUAGUUGAAACUUUAAAGUUGUUCAUAUUAUGUCUUUCAUUUAUAUACGCCCGUUUACGGCACGUAUUAUGGUAUACCUCUGUCCGUCCGUCCGUCGUCAACAUGUCGGACAUUAACUCAAAAACGCUUUAACCAAUUUGCAUAAAACUUUGGUGAAUUGUUUAUAUCUGUUGACAUGAGAUCCCUUUCGUUUUUUAUAAAUUUUAGAUUAUACGUUUCCGAGUUAUGCGGUUUUUUUCAUUAAAAAAGGGGGGAUUUUCCAGUUUUCGGACAAUAACUCAAGAAUGCUUUCACCAACUUGCAAGAAAUUGUGGUGAAUUGUUUAUAUCUAUUGACAUGAGCUCCCUUUCGAUUUUUAUAUAUUUUAGAUUAUACGUUUCUGAGUUACUGGUUUUUAUUCAUAAAAAAGGGGGAUUUUCCAGUUUUCGGACAAAAAAUCAAAAAUGCUUUCAGCAGUUCGUAUGAAGCUAUGGUGAAUUGUUUAUAUCUAUUGAUAUAAGCUCCGUUUAGAAUUUUAUAAAUUUAAAAUUUUACAUUUCUGAGUUAUGGGGUUUUAUUCAUUAAAAAAGGGGGGAUUUUCUAGUUUUCGGACAAUAACUCAAAAAUGCUGUCAGCAAUUCUCAUGAAACUUUGGUGUAUUGUUUAUAUCUAUUGAUGUAAGCUCCCUUUACAUUUUCAUAAAUUUCUAAUAUGACCUUGAGAAUUAAUUGAACUUUAUUUGUUUAUAGUCUGACAACAGGUUUACUAAGUAUUGCGCAACAGCACAGUGUAUUGCAAAACAUCAAGAAAUCUUUAAUUGAAUAUAAAUUCAAUUCAUAUAGCCAAUUUCAAGUUCUUUGACUACAUUUAUUCAGAAACCUAUAGGAUGUCAAAUAUUUAAUACAAUCCAAAUUUAGACCUGUAUCAAGCUUGAAUAUUGUGUCCAUUUUUGCCCCAACUGUUCAGGGUUGAACCUCUGCGGGCGUAUCCAGCUGCGCUCAGCGAAGCAGUUUAUUUGGUUAUUGGUGACAUUUUGAUUUGUUAAUUUUUUUAAUAAAUAUUUGAAAAAUAAAA